Molecule: ribosomal RNA, 497 nt
Filed under: uncultured bacterium
Lineage: Bacteria
Description: partial 16S ribosomal RNA
Rfam family: Bacterial small subunit ribosomal RNA
Source: RNAcentral
GAUGAACGCUGGCGGCGUGCCUAAUACAUGCAAGUCGAGCGAACAGACGAGGAGCUUGCUCCUCUGACGUUAGCGGCGGACGGGUGAGUAACACGUGGAUAACCUACCUAUAAGACUGGGAUAACUUCGGGAAACCGGAGCUAAUACCGGAUAAUAUAUUGAACCGCAUGGUUCAAUAGUGAAAGACGGUUUUGCUGUCACUUAUAGAUGGAUCCGCGCCGCAUUAGCUAGUUGGUAAGGUAACGGCUUACCAAGGCGACGAUGCGUAGCCGACCUGAGAGGGUGAUCGGCCCCACUGGAACUGAGACACGGUCCAGACUCCUACGGGAGGCAGCAGUAGGGAAUCUUCCGCAAUGGGCGGAAGCCUGGCGGAGCAACGCCGCGUGAGUGAUGAAGGUCUUCGGAUCGUAAAACUCUGUUAUUAGGGAAGAACAAAUGUGUAAGUAACUAUGCACGUCUUGACGGUACCUAAUCAGAAAGCCACGGCUAACUACGUG